AACGCACAUUGCGCCCGCUGGUAUUCCGGCGGGCAUGCCUGUUCGAGCGUCAUUUCAACCCUCAAGCCCCCGGGUUUGGUGUUGGGGAUCGGCUCUGCCCUUCUGGGCGGUGCCGCCCCCGAAAUACAUUGGCGGUCUCGCUGCAGCCUCCAUUGCGUAGUAGCUAACACCUCGCAACUGGAACGCGGCGCGGCCAUGCCGUAAAACCCCAACUUCUGAAUGUUGACCUCGGAUCAGGUAGGAAUACCCGCUGAACUUAA
Molecule: unclassified non-coding RNA, 260 nt
Filed under: uncultured fungus
Lineage: Eukaryota; Fungi
Also listed under: 2 other names
Description: sequence contains ITS2
Rfam family: 5.8S ribosomal RNA (bases 1-52)
Source: RNAcentral